GGCUCAGUGGUAGAGUGCUUGCCUUGUAUGCAUGAGGCUCUGGGUUCGAUUCCUCAG
RNAcentral lists this transfer RNA (57 nucleotides) under Dipodomys ordii (Ord's kangaroo rat). It matches the Rfam family "tRNA", at positions 9 to 63 of the family's 71-position model. Rfam says of the family: Transfer RNA (tRNA) molecules are approximately 80 nucleotides in length. Their secondary structure includes four short double-helical elements and three loops (D, anti-codon, and T loops). The record is from Rfam by way of RNAcentral. Lineage: Eukaryota; Metazoa; Chordata; Mammalia; Rodentia; Heteromyidae.